Molecule: unclassified non-coding RNA, 353 nt
Filed under: Hevea brasiliensis (rubber tree)
Lineage: Eukaryota; Viridiplantae; Streptophyta; Magnoliopsida; Malpighiales; Euphorbiaceae
Source: RNAcentral
ACCAACCUUAAAUUUUUCUUUAAUGUUUUGUGCUCUACAAUUUGUACACAAUACUAAAAGAAUACAAAUAACAGAAUCACAAGCAAAGAAAGCUAUCGAAUUGCCACACUAGAAUAUACGAAACUAAAAAUCAAUUAAAUCGAAAAAAAAAAUGAAUGAAAUGAAUAUGAAACAACUCAACUAAUAUUAUACAAACGAUGAGUCUCAUGACACACGUGUUAUGAUCAGAGCAGAACUCUUUAUACCUGAAUGAAUUGCAUUCAACAGUGCUACAAAAUUGAAUAGACUGUCUUCAGAGAACCACUUGAGCUUCCAUGUCAAAGGGCAGCCUGUAUUUUCCUUAUCAAUGGUUG